This 261-nucleotide ribosomal RNA is filed under the name uncultured bacterium. RNAcentral describes it as "partial 16S ribosomal RNA". The record is from RNAcentral.
CUGCUGCCUUCCGUAGGAGUCUGGGCCGUGUCUCAGUCCCAGUGUGAGGGGCCUUCCUCUCAGAACCCCUACGCAUCGUCGCCACGGUGGGCCGUCACCCCGCCGUCUAGCUAAUGCGCCGCAUGCCCAUCCGCCACUGGAUCGCUCCUUUGGCCACCGGAGGAUGCCCUCCGGUGGCGUCACGGGGUAUUAGGCCGCGUUUCCGCGGGUUAUCCCCCUGUGGCGGCCAGGUUGCAUACGUGUUACUCACCCGUGCGCCGG